GCCAGGUGCGGUGGCACACGCCUGUCAUCCCAGCGGCUUGAGGGAGGCUGAGGCAGGAGGAUUGCAAGUUGGAGGCCAGCCUCAGCCACUUAGAAAGGGCCGAAGCAACUCAGCGAGACCCUGUCUCUA
RNAcentral lists this small RNA (129 nucleotides) under Marmota monax (woodchuck). Lineage: Eukaryota; Metazoa; Chordata; Mammalia; Rodentia; Sciuridae. The record is from RNAcentral.